This 462-nucleotide ribosomal RNA is filed under the name uncultured bacterium. RNAcentral's name for it is "partial 16S ribosomal RNA". It matches the Rfam family "Bacterial small subunit ribosomal RNA", at positions 29 to 507 of the family's 1533-position model. The record is from RNAcentral.
AGUGAACGCUGGCGGCGUGCCUAAUACAUGCAAGUCGAACGAACGAAUAAGAGCUUGCUCUUAUAAGUUAGUGGCGCACGGGUGAGUAAUAUAUAGCUAAUCUGCCUCUUAGUAGAGGAUAACAGUCGGAAACGAUUGCUAAUACUCUAUACUUCUGCUUUACAUAAGUAAAGUAGAGAAAGUUUUUCGCUAAGAGAUGAGGCUAUACUGUAUCAGCUAGUUGGUAAGGUAACGGCUUACCAAGGCUAUGACGCAUAACUGGUCUGAGAGGAUGAUCAGUCACAUUGGAACUGAGACACGGUCCAAACUCCUACGGGAGGCAGCAGUAGGGAAUAUUGCGCAAUGGGGGAAACCCUGACGCAGCAACGCCGCGUGGAGGAUGACACUUUUCGGAGCAUAAACUCCUUUUAUCGGGAAAGAAUAAUGACGGUACCCGAUGAAUAAGCACCGGCUAACUCCGUG